Long non-coding RNA from Passer domesticus (house sparrow), 1196 nucleotides. RefSeq lists it as uncharacterized. The transcript has 3 exons. The record is from RefSeq and is a predicted model, not a curated record. Lineage: Eukaryota; Metazoa; Chordata; Aves; Passeriformes; Passeridae.
GCCCCAGGGAGCAGCAGGAGGGGAAGGAAGGUCUCUCCCGGGGGGUGGAGGUGCCAGGCACAGCCAGGGGAUGCCAGGACAGCACCAGAAUCUUUUCCUCUGUUAUGUGAGAUCUUCAGCCCAUUCAUCAAUUUCCUGGCACAUCAAACUGCAGUUGGCUGGACAGCAGCAAGAGCAGAGUGCUGUGAAAACUUCUCCAAAAUCCUUCUCUGUCUUGAGGCUUGGCCCAUGCUUUCGUACUCCAGACCUCUCUGUCCCUUUGAAAGGAAUCCUACAGGCAUCCUAGAGCAGGAAGGGUUUGUGGAGUGAGUUUGUGAGCAUAAAUAGCUCUCAAGCAGAGCAGCACCUGCCACCCUUGAUCCGUCUGGCGCGUCCCACAAAUCACUGGUGCAGCAGGGCUCGAUCACAGCUAUUGUUUGUGCUAAGCUUCCUCCUACUCCUGUAAUCCUGCCGUUUAAAUGGAUGGGAUAUUCUGCAUUCAGGAGAGGGUGUGGGGACAGGAACUGCAGCUGAGUAUUUGGUGGGCAUGGCACGGUGCACGUGUGGAGCUCUGCCAAGGGCACAGGAGUGCAAAUGCUGACAAGCAGCACACUGCAAACGAAAGAUGUGGCUCUUGCCAAAGUGCCCCGUGUCACACUGCCUCUCACUGCUUCUUCAGGGAGCUGCUGAUGCUUUCUGGGCUGGGGGAAAGCUGGACUGACAGGAUCUGUGGGGUCUGGUGAGCUGGGCUGCUGGGCUCUUGCCACUCUCCCUGGGGUGGUCUGAGGGGCCUGCCCUUGUCCCGUGCCCAGGUGUGCCUGCCCGAGGGAUGCUGGCACACCUGUCCCAGCUCCCAUCUCCAUCUCUGAGGGGCCAGCUCAGUCAGAGUGCGUGCCUCCAGGACUGGAGGAGCCCAGCUGAUGCUCCAGGGUGUGCAAAGACUCGGGUGUAGUUGCCAUGGUAUAUUCAGGUGGUUUGGCCUCUUCUGAGGAGCACGGACAGCAUUGAGCACGUUUUCUGGGCAUGGCACAGCUCCUGUGGCUGUGUUUUCCUGCAGACACAGCCAAGGCAGUUUUUAUGACCUGCUGCAGGAGGGGACACGUGGGGCUCACCCCCUGGUUCAUGUCCGUGGUCAGCUGCAGGCAGCGUGGCUCAGUUUUCCCCUGAAAGGGCACAGCACAGGGCUGCUCAGAGAUGCUCACACUGCCAGGGUUUCC